RNAcentral lists this ribosomal RNA (570 nucleotides) under Ectopleura larynx. Its description in RNAcentral is "partial 16S ribosomal RNA". It matches the Rfam family "Bacterial large subunit ribosomal RNA", at positions 1825 to 2597 of the family's 2925-position model. The record is from RNAcentral. Lineage: Eukaryota; Metazoa; Cnidaria; Hydrozoa; Anthoathecata; Tubulariidae.
GCCUUAUAAAAGUAUUAAAGGUGAUGCCUGCCCAGUGGGGUAUAAUAAAAAAUUAUAAUAAAAUUUUAUUUACCUUAAACGGAUGCGGUAACUCUGACUGUAAUAAAGUAGCAUAAUUAAUUGUCAUUUAAUUGGUGAAGAGAAUGAAUGGCUAAACGUAUGUCUCAUUGUCUUGGGAGAAAGUUUUUGAAAUUAGAAUAAUAGUGAAGAUCCUAUUUAAUACCGUUAGACGAAAAGACCCUAUAGAGCUUGACUAUAAUUUGGAAAUGAUUUUCUAGGUUGGUAGUUUAGUUGGGGCGACUAUCUUUUAGAAUAAACAAAGAUAAGCAUGAUAAUGAAAAUUUUUAUUGUUUAAUUAAUAAAUUUAACAAUUACUAAUGUAGGCUAUAAUGACCCAUUAGAAUUAAAAUAAAUCUAAUGAUUAAUAAAUAAAAGCUACCUUAGGGAUAACAGGAUAAUUUUGUUUUAGAGAUCAUAUCAAAUACAAAGUUUGUCACCUCUAUGUUGAAUUAAGAUAACCGAAUAAUGCAGAAGUUAUUUAAGGUAGGUCUGUUCGACCUUUAAAAUCUU